AUUGAACGCUGGCGGCAUGCUUUACACAUGCAAGUCGAACGGCAGCGCGGGCUUCGGCCUGGCGGCGAGUGGCGAACGGGUGAGUAAUAUAUCGGAACGUACCCAAGAGUGGGGAUAACGUAGCGAAGUUACGCUAAUACCGCAUACGAUCUAAGGAUGAAAGCAGGGGAUCGCAAGACCUUGUGCUCCUGGAGCGGCCGAUAUCUGAUUAGCUAGUUGGUGAGGUAAAGGCUCACCAAGGCAACGAUCAGUAGCUGGU
RNAcentral lists this ribosomal RNA (259 nucleotides) under uncultured bacterium. Its description in RNAcentral is "partial 16S ribosomal RNA". It matches the Rfam family "Bacterial small subunit ribosomal RNA", at positions 30 to 291 of the family's 1533-position model. The record is from RNAcentral.